RNAcentral lists this small nucleolar RNA (137 nucleotides) under Drosophila virilis. RNAcentral's name for it is "snoRNA:GJ25376". Lineage: Eukaryota; Metazoa; Arthropoda; Insecta; Diptera; Drosophilidae. The record is from RNAcentral.
AUGCGUUCAACAGUAAAUUGUCGCCGAUAGAUUACUAGGCGACAGUUAUGCAAGGCAACGCUAGAAUAAGCAGACGACAUUUAAUAAUGCAUUGGCCGACAAACUCCACGGCCUUUGCGUUUUGAGGUGUCGCCACA